GUUAGGAAUCUUCCACAAUGGGGGCAACCCUGAUGGAGCAACACCGCGUGCUGGAUGAAGGCCUUCGGGUCGUAAACAGCUUUUGUAUACGAAGAAUAUGACGGUAAUAUACGAAUAAGGGUCGGCUAACUACGUGCCAGCAGCCGCGGUCAUACGUAGGACCCAAGCGUUAUCCGGAGUGACUGGGCGUAAAGAGUUGCGUAGGCGGCUUAUUAAGCGAGUAGUGAAAUCUGGUGGCUCAACCAUCAACACAUUGCUCGAACUGAUAGGCUUGAGAAUGGUAGAGGUAGUUGGAAUUUCUUGUGUAGGAGUGAAAUCCGUAGAUAUAAGAAGGAACACCAAUGGCGUAGGCAGACUACUGGACCAUUUCUGACGCUGAGGCACGAAAGCGUGGGGAGCGAACCGGAUUAGAUACCCCUGUAGUCC
Molecule: ribosomal RNA, 426 nt
Filed under: uncultured bacterium
Lineage: Bacteria
Description: partial 16S ribosomal RNA
Rfam family: Bacterial small subunit ribosomal RNA
Source: RNAcentral